RNAcentral lists this ribosomal RNA (785 nucleotides) under uncultured Enterobacteriaceae bacterium. RNAcentral describes it as "SSU rRNA". It matches the Rfam family "Bacterial small subunit ribosomal RNA", at positions 71 to 856 of the family's 1533-position model. The record is from RNAcentral. Lineage: Bacteria; Pseudomonadati; Pseudomonadota; Gammaproteobacteria; Enterobacterales; Enterobacteriaceae.
ACAGAGAGCUUGCUCUCGGGUGACGAGCGGCGGACGGGUGAGUAAUGUCUGGGAAACUGCCUGAUGGAGGGGGAUAACUACUGGAAACGGUAGCUAAUACCGCAUAAUGUCGCAAGACCAAAGUGGGGGACCUUCGGGCCUCAUGCCAUCAGAUGUGCCCAGAUGGGAUUAGCUAGUAGGUGGGGUAACGGCUCACCUAGGCGACGAUCCCUAGCUGGUCUGAGAGGAUGACCAGCCACACUGGAACUGAGACACGGUCCAGACUCCUACGGGAGGCAGCAGUGGGGAAUAUUGCACAAUGGGCGCAAGCCUGAUGCAGCCAUGCCGCGUGUGUGAAGAAGGCCUUCGGGUUGUAAAGCACUUUCAGCGGGGAGGAAGGCGUUAAGGUUAAUAACCUUGGCGAUUGACGUUACCCGCAGAAGAAGCACCGGCUAACUCCGUGCCAGCAGCCGCGGUAAUACGGAGGGUGCAAGCGUUAAUCGGAAUUACUGGGCGUAAAGCGCACGCAGGCGGUCUGUCAAGUCGGAUGUGAAAUCCCCGGGCUCAACCUGGGAACUGCAUUCGAAACUGGCAGGCUAGAGUCUUGUAGAGGGGGGUAGAAUUCCAGGUGUAGCGGUGAAAUGCGUAGAGAUCUGGAGGAUACCGGUGGCGAAGCGGCCCCUGGACAAAGACUGACGCUCAGGUGCGAAAGCGUGGGGAGCAACAGGAUUAAUACCCUGGUAGUCCACGCCGUAAACGAUGUCGAUUUGGAGGUUGUGCCCUUGAGGCGUGCUUCCGGAGCUAAC